Molecule: ribosomal RNA, 480 nt
Filed under: uncultured organism
Description: partial 16S ribosomal RNA
Rfam family: Bacterial small subunit ribosomal RNA
Source: RNAcentral
CGUACACUCCUGCGGGAGGCAGCAGUGGGGAAUAUUGCACAAUGGGCGCAAGCCUGAUGCAGCCAUGCCGCGUGUAUGAAGAAGGCCUUCGGGUUGUAAAGUACUUUCAGCGGGGAGGAAGGCAAUACGGUUAAUAACCGUGUUGAUUGACGUUACCCGCAGAAGAAGCACCGGCUAACUCCGUGCCAGCAGCCGCGGUAAUACGGAGGGUGCAAGCGUUAAUCGGAAUUACUGGGCGUAAAGCGCACGCAGGCGGUCUGUCAAGUCGGAUGUGAAAUCCCCGGGCUCAACCUGGGAACUGCAUUCGAAACUGGCAGGCUUGAGUCUUGUAGAGGGGGGUAGAAUUCCAGGUGUAGCGGUGAAAUGCGUAGAGAUCUGGAGGAAUACCGGUGGCGAAGGCGGCCCCCUGGACAAAGACUGACGCUCAGGUGCGAAAGCGUGGGGAGCAAACAGGAUUAGAUACCCCGGUAGUCCCAUGAU